AGAGGGUGCUAGCGUUAAUCGGAUUUACUGGGCGUAAAGCGUGCGUAGGUGGUUUGAUAAGUCGAUUGUGAAAGCCCCGGGCUUAACCUGGGAAUUGCGGUCGAUACUGUCAGACUCGAAAACGGUAGAGGGAGGUGGAACUCCAGGUGUAGCGGUGAAAUGCGUAGAUAUCUGGAAGAACACCGAUGGCGAAGGCAGCCUCCUGGGCCUGUUUUGACACUGAGGCACGAAAGCGUGGGUAGCAAACAGGGAUUAGAUACCCUGGUAGUCCACGCCGUAAACGAUGAGAACUUGACGUUGGUUUGCUUAGCAAAUCGGUGUCGUAGCUAACGCGAUAAGUUCUCCGCCUGGGGGAGUACGGCCGCAAGGUUG
Molecule: ribosomal RNA, 372 nt
Filed under: uncultured organism
Description: partial 16S ribosomal RNA
Rfam family: Bacterial small subunit ribosomal RNA
Source: RNAcentral